RNAcentral lists this unclassified non-coding RNA (302 nucleotides) under uncultured Entoloma. Its description in RNAcentral is "sequence contains ITS2". The stretch from base 1 to 52 matches the Rfam family "5.8S ribosomal RNA", at positions 103 to 154 of the family's 154-position model. The record is from RNAcentral. Lineage: Eukaryota; Fungi; Basidiomycota; Agaricomycetes; Agaricales; Entolomataceae.
AACGCACCUUGCGCUCCUUGGUAUUCCGAGGAGCAUGCCUGUUUGAGUGUCGUGAAAUUCUCAACCUGUCUAACUUGAAAGAGCUAGAUCAGGCUUGGAUGUGGAGGUUGCUGGUUUCCCAGAAAUCAGCUCUUCUUAAAUGUAUUAGCAGAAACUUUGCUAAUUAUCUUUGGUAUGAUAAUUAUCUAUACCACGGACAAUUGGCUCCUUCAUUGGGAGGGUUUUACUGCUUCUAAUAGUCUAUUCAGACAAUUCUUGACAAUUUUGACCUCAAAUCAGGUAGGACUACCCGCUGAACUUAA